CAGAUCAAUUUCAGCUUCACUCUUCUCUUGUAGAGGAUCAGACAGUUCUCCAGUAAAAGGCUGUGUGUGUUUUGAUCAUCCUUGAAAUGGAGUGUUGUCUCUUUGUUCAACCUUCUUCCUUCAUUACAAUUCCUUUAAAGGGUAAAUUAAAACGCCAUUAUUUUCCCAAUUCCAAGCUCCUACGAGUUGCUGCUCUUCUUCUUCAAAAGAUUCAUUUGACUCUUUACCUGUCUCCGACAAUUCUUCUGGAAAUUUUUGCAUUAUAGAGGGACCUGAAACGGUUCAGAACUUCACUCAAAUGCAGACACAGCAAAUCCAAGAUAAUAUAAGGAGUAGGCGAAAUAAGAUAUUUCUUCUUAUGGAGGAGGUGAGGAGACUACGGAUACAACAACGCCUCAAGAGGAUGAAAGGUUCUCAUGAGGGGACUUCAGAUGAGGCAAACGAAAUGCCUGAGAUUCCUUCAUCUAUUCCCUUCCUUCCCCAUGUGACUCCUAAGACAUUGAAGCAACUAUACUUGGCGAGCUUUUCAUUUAUAGCUAGGAUCAUCGUCUUUGGAGGCCUUAUUGCUCCAACUCUUGGAUUGAAAAGGUUUAGGGGGCAUGUCUUAUGAGGAUUCCUAUCGCACCUUGCAUUUGCCUCUUCAACUGAGGAUAUUUGGCUUGUUCUUGAUGUUCUGCUAGUGGUGUGUGCUUAAGGACAGAAUCAAUUGCGAUAUCUAGUGAUUUUGAUCGUCCCUUGCGAGUGGCAACUACACAAAGG
Molecule: RNA transcript, 759 nt
Organism: Beta vulgaris subsp. vulgaris (sugar beet)
Lineage: Eukaryota; Viridiplantae; Streptophyta; Magnoliopsida; Caryophyllales; Amaranthaceae
Gene name: protein ORANGE-LIKE, chloroplastic
Exons: 6
Source: RefSeq, a predicted model, not a curated record